RNAcentral lists this ribosomal RNA (465 nucleotides) under uncultured bacterium. Its description in RNAcentral is "partial 16S ribosomal RNA". It matches the Rfam family "Bacterial small subunit ribosomal RNA", at positions 28 to 507 of the family's 1533-position model. The record is from RNAcentral.
GAUGAACGCUGGCGGCGUGCUUAACACAUGCAAGUCGAACGGAAAGGCUCCUGCUUGCCGGGGUACUCGAGUGGCGAACGGGUGAGUAACACGUGGGUGAUCUGCCCUGCACCUCGGGAUAAGCCUGGGAAACUGGGUCUAAUACCGGAUAGGACCACAUUUUGGAUGGUGUGGUGGAAAGUUUUUCGGUGUGGGAUGAGCUCGCGGCCUAUCAGCUUGUUGGUGGGGUAAUGGCCUACCAAGGCGUCGACGGGUAGCCGGCCUGAGAGGGUGUACGGCCACAUUGGGACUGAGAUACGGCCCAGACUCCUACGGGAGGCAGCAGUGGGGAAUAUUGCACAAUGGGCGCAAGCCUGAUGCAGCGACGCCGCGUGGGGGAUGACGGCCUUCGGGUUGUAAACUCCUUUCGCUAGGGACGAAGCGCAAGUGACGGUACCUGGAGAAGAAGCACCGGCUAACUACGUG